CAGGUGUAGCGGUGAAAUGCGUAGAGAUCUGGAGGAAUACCGGUGGCGAAGGCGGCCCCCUGGACAAAGACUGACGCUCAGGUGCGAAAGCGUGGGGAGCAAACAGGAUUAGAUACCCUGGUAGUCCACGCCGUAAACGAUGUCUACUUGGAGGCUGUGCCCUUGAGGCGUGGCUUCCGGAGCUAACGCGUUAAGUAGACCGCCUGGGGAGUACGGCCGCAAGGUUAAAACUCAAAUGAAUUGACGGGGGCCCGCACAAGCGGUGGAGCAUGUGGUUUAAUUCGAUGCAACGCGAAGAACCUUACCUGGUCUUGACAUCCACAGAAGUUUGCAGAGAUGCGAAUGUGCCUUCGGGAACUGUGAGACAGGUGCUGCAUGGCUGUCGUCAGCUCGUGUUGUGAAAUGUUGGGUUAAGUCCCGCAACGAGCGCAAC
This 433-nucleotide ribosomal RNA is filed under the name Salmonella enterica. RNAcentral's name for it is "bacterial SSU rRNA". It matches the Rfam family "Bacterial small subunit ribosomal RNA", at positions 670 to 1102 of the family's 1533-position model. Lineage: Bacteria; Pseudomonadati; Pseudomonadota; Gammaproteobacteria; Enterobacterales; Enterobacteriaceae. The record is from RNAcentral.